UAGGGAAUCUUCGGCAAUGGGGGGAACCCUGACCGAGCAACGCCGCGUGAGUGAAGAAGGUUUUCGGAUCGUAAAGCUCUGUUGUUAAGGAAGAACGAGUGUGAGAAUGGAAAGUUCAUGCUGUGACGGUACUUAACCAGAAAGGGACGGCUAACUACGUGCCAGCAGCCGCGGUAAUACGUAGGUCCCGAGCGUUGUCCGGAUUUAUUGGGCGUAAAGCGAGCGCAGGCGGUUAGAAAAGUCUGAAGUGAAAGGCAGUGGCUCAACCAUUGUAGGCUUUGGAAACUGUUUAACUUGAGUGCAGAAGGGGAGAGUGGAAUUCCAUGUGUAGCGGUGAAAUGCAUAGAUAUAUGGAGGAACACCGGUGGCGAAAGCGGCUCUCUGGUCUGUAACUGACGCUGAGGUUCGAAAGCGUGGGUAGCAAACAGG
RNAcentral lists this ribosomal RNA (429 nucleotides) under Bacteroidota bacterium. RNAcentral's name for it is "Bacteroidetes bacterium partial 16S ribosomal RNA". It matches the Rfam family "Bacterial small subunit ribosomal RNA", at positions 355 to 776 of the family's 1533-position model. The record is from RNAcentral. Lineage: Bacteria; Pseudomonadati; Bacteroidota.